AUUGAACGCUGGCGGCAGGCCUAACACAUGCAAGUCGAGCGGAUGAAGGGAGCUUGCUCCUGGAUUCAGCGGCGGACGGGUGAGUAAUGCCUAGGAAUCUGCCUGGCAGCGGGGGAUAACGUCCGGAAACGGGCGCUAAUACCGCAUACGUCCUGAGGGAGAAAGUGGGGGAUCUUCGGACCUUACGCUAUCAGAUGAGCCGAGGUCGGAUUAGCUAGUUGGUGGGGUAAAGGCCUACCAAGGCGACGAUCCGUAACUGGUCUGAGAGGAUGAUCAGUCACACUGGAACUGAGACACGGUCCAGACUCCUACGGGAGGCAGCAGUGGGGAAUAUUGGACAAUGGGCGAAAGCCUGAUCCAGCCAUGCCGCGUGUGUGAAGAAGGUCUUCGGAUUGUAAAGCACUUUAAGUUGGGAAGAAGAGCAGUAAGUUAAUACCUUGCUGUUUUGACGGUACCAACAGAAUAAGCACCGGCUAACUUCGUG
RNAcentral lists this ribosomal RNA (484 nucleotides) under uncultured bacterium. Its description in RNAcentral is "partial 16S ribosomal RNA". It matches the Rfam family "Bacterial small subunit ribosomal RNA", at positions 30 to 507 of the family's 1533-position model. The record is from RNAcentral.